Molecule: ribosomal RNA, 253 nt
Filed under: uncultured bacterium
Lineage: Bacteria
Description: partial 16S ribosomal RNA
Rfam family: Bacterial small subunit ribosomal RNA
Source: RNAcentral
UACAGAGGUGGCAAGCGUUGUUCGGAAUUACUGGGCGUAAAGGGCGCGUAGGCGGCCAUCUAAGUCAGACGUGAAAUCCCCCGGCUUAACCUGGGAACUGCGUCUGAUACUGGAAGGCUCGAGUUUGGGAGAGGGAUGCAGAAUUCCAGGUGUAGCGGUGAAAUGCGUAGAUAUCUGGAGGAAUACCGGUGGCGAAGGCGGCAUCCUGGACCAACACUGACGCUGAGGCGCGAAAGCUAGGGGAGCAAACAGG